This is a non-coding RNA of Otolemur garnettii (small-eared galago), 61 nucleotides long. NCBI's taxonomy places the organism in Eukaryota, Metazoa, Chordata, Mammalia, Primates, Galagidae. The record is from Rfam.
GUGGCUCAGGGGAGUAGGGCACCGGCCCCAUACGCCGGACGUGGCUGGUUCAAACCCAGCC